Molecule: ribosomal RNA, 252 nt
Filed under: uncultured bacterium
Lineage: Bacteria
Description: partial 16S ribosomal RNA
Rfam family: Bacterial small subunit ribosomal RNA
Source: RNAcentral
UACGGAGGAUGCGAGCGUUAUCCGGAUUUAUUGGGUUUAAAGGGUGCGUAGGCAGGCUUUUAAGUCAGCGGUAAAAAUUCGGGGCUCAACCCCGUCCGGCCGUUGAAACUGGGGGUCUUGAGUGGGCGAGAAGAAGGCGGAAUGCGUGGUGUAGCGGUGAAAUGCAUAGAUAUCACGCAGAACCCCGAUUGCGAAGGCAGCCUUCCGGCGCCCUACUGACGCUGAGGCACGAAAGUGCGGGGAUCGAACAGG